GGAGAAGGAGAAGGAGAAGGAGAAGGAGAAGGAGGAGAAGGAGAAGGAGAAGGAGGAGAAGGAGAAGGAGAAGGAGAAGGAGGAGAAGAAGGAGAAGGAGAAGAAGGAGAAGCAGCAGAGAGACUCCCUGUCCCUAUCCCUACCGCUGUACCCAUUCUAGUCCCUGAUAGAAUGGGGAGGAGGGGAAAGCAGGAGAGCCUGGCCCUGCCUCCAAACUCAAGUGCUUCCUGGAAGGAAGAGGCAGAAUAUACAGACAUGUUUGCAGAAGGAAGGAGAUCCAGCAGUGCCCCGUCAGUUACCUUCUAAGCACCUGAAGGCCCAGCCUCUUUCCAUCACUGGAAACGUAGCCAUGACAACGGACAGGAAUUCCCCAAUAUAGACUAAGAAGAUCCAGCAAAACCCGCAGCUUCCCCCGCCCACACUAGCUCUCUUAUCAAACGGGACGGGCUGUCUCUUGGGAUUGCACUUCGCACUAGGGCCGCCCGUUCCAUGCACUCUCUCCAACAUUCUGCCAGGGGCUGGUGGCGGCGGAAUGAGUGGAUAAUGGAAUGAACUUAAAGGGGGAGUGAGGAGGACGGAAUGCUAUCUCGCCCCUCUUGCCAACCGGGUCUUACUCAAAGGAGGGGAUAGUCCGGUUUUCUCUGUGAAGUUCCAGCUUAUCAGCCGGACUCUGUCCGUUCCUGCCACCUCCGCUACUGCUCGGAGAUCGGCUGGAGGAUGCUGAGUGGAAUUUGUCGUCCUGCCAUGAGUAAUAGAAAGGGCCUAAGAUCCCGGCGACCGUCAGUAUUGAAAUGACAUUAGCGCGGAUCCUUCUCGUUUAGAGGACCCGAGUGCUGUCUGGGAACCUGGAGUAAUUAAGAAAGAGCUGGCUUGGUAGAUUGGGGUGAGUAGAGGGUGGAGGAGGAAAUGUUUGAUAAAGUAGUUUGGGAGCAGGUGAAAAGGCCUGAGGUGCCCUCAUUGCCACACAGCAUCCACCCUUGGAAGAACAUCAGAAAGUAAAUUUCCUGGUACCCAUAACAAGGAGGCUCUAGUUUUCCUGUGGCUACUUCAGAAGGCACUUUGACUCAGGCUGCUUUAGCUUCUAUAAUGGCAAUAACAGAAUAGGACAUUGUUGUGAUGUUUCUCCCAAUUCAAAAUGUUUCCUCCUCUCACACUUGAAAACUCUCUCUAAUUUUUAAGCUAAUUUUAAUUUAAUCUUUAUGAUUUAAAAAAUUCUCCCAGUUUCCCAUUGUUUCAAGGUGUUCCAAGGGGCUUGGAAGAGGGGCCCAGAAGUUGGAGGCCACAUAACUUCUCUGCCCAUUGACUUCCACAAGGCUCCACUCUGGGCUCCUCUUUUUGUCCUGUCUCUCCAGGACUGUCACCGACUGUCCAGCCAGUAGGCUCAUUUCAUGGUUGCUCCGGGCUACAAAUGGAUUAACAGCCACCACCUAAAAACACACAGAAAGUAACAAAGCAAGAAGACCAAGAAAGGCAUAAUGGUCCAAGAACAAAUGGAAGCAAAGAGGUGCAAAUUCAUUUCUUGCUACCAAUGACUUGAGAAGCCAUGUGGAGACAGUGGAAAAGGCAUUGUAUUGGAAGUUAGAAGAUCUGGUUACCACUUCUGUGACUGAGCAAAUCAUCUCUUUUCUCUGAGCCUUGGUUUAUUCAUCUAUAAAAUGAAGGGCUUAGACUAGACAGAUUCUAAGGUCCCUUUUAAGUCUCAGACAAUGUUCCUAUAUUCCUCACACUUUCCCAUACUCUCUGUGGACCAUUGUCUCUUCUCUUCAUUCUUCUCAUUGUCUUUUUCUUGUUAAUGAGGAGUAUAGUCUAAAAAUGUCUCCAGCUCUUUCUCUUACUUAGAGCUCCAUAGCUCUCAAAGAAACAAAGAUGAGAAACAAAAAUUACUAGAGCCACAAGAAACCUAAGAUGCACAACAUCCUGACUAGUAGGACUGUUGAAUCCCCAGGACUAGACCCCAUCCAAGUAAGAGGAUCUCAAUCUACUUGGGUGGGAUUGCUCCAAUGAGCAGACUGAAUUUUGGAAGUUAUAGGUAAAGUUAACAGUGAAUGCCUGUGGCAAGUGGAGCAACAAUUAUAUGGUCCCUAUAUACACUAUUAUAUAAUUAUAUCUUAUAUAGAACUAUCUGGUUCUAUAUAUAUACACAAUAGACACUAUUGAUUCUAGAUGUCAAACUUUGGUCUAAUAUAUUUGCUGCAAAUAUUACUAAUGUUUUCUGUUAAUUUAUAUAUUACUUUUUUGCUGUAAAGAAUAUUUUUUCAUACAGCCAAAUGUAUUGAUUUUAUUUCCACUAAUUUCUUCCAUUUGUUAGAUUCAUGGAAAUCUUAUUUACCAUGGUUGAGUCUUAUAUUCCUUUAUCCUUUAGCAUUCUACAUUUUAAAAAAUAUUUUAGAUUGGUGAAAUGGAUUUUUUAUAUAUGGCGUGAGUAAGGGAUCCAAACCUAGUGUUCCUACCCAAUUUUCCUCAGAGUUUUUAUUUGAUACUUAUUUCAUUCUCUAUAUCUUUGAGACAGAGACAGAGAGAGAGAGAGAGAGAGAGAGAGAGAGAGAGAAAGAGAGAGAGAGAGAGAGAGAGAGAGAGAGAGAGAGAGAGAGAGAGAGAGAGAGAGAGAGAGACUGUUUCUGGAUUUCUGGAUUCCCUAUUAUGUUCCAUUGAUCUGUUUUAUUUUUCUCUUGUACUGGGCAAUUUUUAAUAACUCUCCUAUAGAGUACAUUAAAAUUUGAUUAAUCAAG
Monodelphis domestica (gray short-tailed opossum) is the source of this 2729-nucleotide long non-coding RNA. RefSeq lists it as uncharacterized. The record is from RefSeq and is a predicted model, not a curated record. NCBI's taxonomy places the organism in Eukaryota, Metazoa, Chordata, Mammalia, Didelphimorphia, Didelphidae.